AGCUUUUCGAAUCCGUGCUGAGAUUUCGUCAGACACCGAACCAUUACGGCUGAUCAGACUCCUAAGAUAAGUGAGGUU
This 78-nucleotide microRNA precursor is filed under the name Schistosoma margrebowiei. RNAcentral's name for it is "mir-3492 microRNA precursor family". It matches the Rfam family "mir-3492 microRNA precursor family". The record is from Rfam by way of RNAcentral. Lineage: Eukaryota; Metazoa; Platyhelminthes; Trematoda; Strigeidida; Schistosomatidae.